UCCUCCAGGAUGGAGCCCCCGGACGUGCCUGAUGGCGGCCCGCGGGCAGGGGGGUGCCCGGCCCUGGCGCCUGUGCUGAGGCCCCCUCCCCCCCCCCCCAGUUCUCAGGCUUCUGGUACGAGAUCGCCUACGCCUCCAAGGUCCGCGCCCCGCCCGCCAGGCAGGUGGUGGGGGUGCAGGUGGAGUGGGAGGGCGGCCACCUGGCCCUGACCACCGCCUACAAGGAUGAGACCGGCUGUGUGACGGAAAAGCGGGUGGCCAUGAAGGGGGACGUCCCGGGGAAGUUCAAGCUGCCCAAGGAGUUCGGAGACCAGGAGAUCGCGGUGGUGAGCACAGACUACGGGGCCUACGCCAUCCUGCACCUGCAGGCCCACCCGGGGGCGGCCGGCGCCGGGCUCCUCAAGCUCUGCAG
Long non-coding RNA from Pipistrellus kuhlii (Kuhl's pipistrelle), 412 nucleotides. RefSeq lists it as uncharacterized. The record is from RefSeq and is a predicted model, not a curated record. Lineage: Eukaryota; Metazoa; Chordata; Mammalia; Chiroptera; Vespertilionidae. The transcript has 3 exons.